AUAUAUUUAUAUAGACGUCAAGAGUAACAGGGAGCACACGAGAUAGCGAAGCGAACCCCCGGAGUCCAUGAUGUCGUUGUGCAAAACAACUUUUACUGAGGU
Long non-coding RNA from Haliotis rubra (blacklip abalone), 102 nucleotides. RefSeq lists it as uncharacterized. The transcript is spliced from 3 exons. The record is from RefSeq and is a predicted model, not a curated record. Lineage: Eukaryota; Metazoa; Mollusca; Gastropoda; Lepetellida; Haliotidae.